CCCUGGAAUUGCGUUAGGUAUGGUUCAUAUGGAAAAUUUCCUUGCAAAUUUGCUCUUUCAUUUUGACUGGAAAUUUCCUAAAGGAAUUACUGCAGAGAAUCUUGACAUGACCGAUGCUUUUGGAGGAGUUAUGAAGAGAAAAGUAGACCUUGAACUGAUUCCCAUUCCAUACCAUCCUUAAUUUCUAUAUCUUAUCUCAAGAUUAGAUGUAACAGAUUAUGAAGAGAAAAGUAGACCUUGAACUGAUUCCCAUUCCAUACCAUCCUUAAUUUCUAUAUCUUAUCUCAAGAUUAGAUGUAAUAGUUUGUUGCAUGCCAGAUAAUCCAUGUAGGGGGUAGUUUUAGAAGAUAUGAUACUUUUGUUGGAUUUACUUUUUACUUUGGAAUGUAACAAAAAUAAACUGUUGUUGGGUGUAAAAAUUGAAUUAUGUCAACGAAAUAAUGAUAAGUUUCCAUCUUUUUAUUUCUUAUCUUUUUUUUAGAGUAAUAUUUCUUUUCUUUUUAGGGAUAUAAUUGAG
Molecule: long non-coding RNA, 517 nt
Filed under: Jatropha curcas
Lineage: Eukaryota; Viridiplantae; Streptophyta; Magnoliopsida; Malpighiales; Euphorbiaceae
Description: long non-coding RNA (JCUR_LNC002825)
Source: RNAcentral